Molecule: ribosomal RNA, 433 nt
Filed under: uncultured bacterium
Lineage: Bacteria
Description: partial 16S ribosomal RNA
Rfam family: Bacterial small subunit ribosomal RNA
Source: RNAcentral
AACGAACGCUGGCGGCAUGCCUAGCACAUGCAAGUCGAACGAGACCUUCGGGUCUAGUGGCGCACGGGUGCGUAACGCGUGGGAACCUGCCCUUAGGUUCGGAAUAACUCCCCGAAAGGGGUGCUAAUACCGGAUAAUGUCUUCGGACCAAAGAUUUAUCGCCUUUGGAUGGGCCCGCGUUGGAUUAGCUAGUUGGUAGGGUAAAAGCCUACCAAGGCGACGAUCCAUAGCUGGUCUGAGAGGAUGAUCAGCCACACUGGGACUGAGACACGGCUCAGACUCCUACGGGAGGCAGCAGUGGGGAAUAUUGGACAAUGGGCGAAAGCCUGAUCCAGCAAUGCCGCGUGAGUGAUGAAGGCCUUAGGGUUGUAAAGCUCUUUUACCCGGGAUGAUAAUGACAGUACCGGGAGAAUAAGCUCCGGCUAACUCCGUG